Non-coding RNA from Drosophila melanogaster (fruit fly), 1528 nucleotides. The record is from Ensembl. Lineage: Eukaryota; Metazoa; Arthropoda; Insecta; Diptera; Drosophilidae.
AGCUUAGUUGGUACAAUACUUCGUAGAUUCGGUACAAAUACAGUACGUGCACCUUUCCAACUCAUCAUAUUUUUUGAAAUGAGCGUAUGUGAUGGAUUUAAGCCAGGAUGCACAUCUAAUAGGUCAAUUGGGUAACGGACCUCGUGGCGUAUGCGCAAUUUCAAAAGAAACGCUUAGGUCAAACAAUAUUGGUUUCCACAAAUGCACACAGAGAAUCACAGUUUCUGCGUAAAAAAAAAACUGAAAAUCUAUUGAGAAGUGGCUAAGGCAAUUUCAAUGCCAAAGUGGACGAAAGUUGGUAAAACUUUGCCGGGCCAAAGUGAGACAGCCAAAAGUGAGACAGCGAAAAAGAAAUGUUCCAGGUGGCAAAUGUCAAAGCAGUGGAUCCUGGCAGCUGAAGGACAGUAGUCCCGUCCCCUUUCGUUGCUUGUUUGUUUGUUUGUUUGUGCCAUUGUCGUUUGUGAACUAUGAACUGUCACACGGAGAAGAGUGCACUAAAAGCGUCGCCUUACGGCAACUGACUUGGAAAGAUAAUCGCGAGGGGUGUGAUGAGUGGGCGUUGCAACUUUUGAUAACGGUUUAUCUGGGCUGCCGUUGCAGCUUACCUUUUUUAGCCGGGCAACAGUUUCAGCUGACUGGCUAAGUUGGCUUCAAGUUGCCACCGACUUGACUGACUUGACUUUCAUCAUCAUCGUAAUUUGCUUUCCAGCUUGAGCUUCCAAAAGGGAGGCGAAAAAAAAAGUAUCUUGGUAUCUUGAUGUCGCGACAACUUUUCCUAUUCGCCACCCCCUGGAUGGCCUUCAUGGUUAGCAUUUAAUUAUUUGAAAAAUACGCAUUGGCGCUUCGUAUUACCGAGAAAGAGAAGCAAAAAGAGAAUCGGAUCGGAUGUGGGGAAAGUAAACAGCAAAAAAGGUUCACAUUUUGAAAUUAAAUAUCACAAAAAAUGUUUUUUGUAGUUUGGUACUAUUCUUUUCAAAAAGGCACAAAAACUCUUUAGUUAAAGAAGUUAAACUCUAUAAAAAUUAAUAUUUCUCGUAAUUAAAAUGCAAUAAUCAUUAUAAUUCAUAGACAAGUUUAGAAUGCAUGUUGGAUCUACAGUUCUGUUUGGUUUUAAAGUGUAAGAGGGUGAACAUAUAUUUAAACCCCGACCGGCAUCAAGAGAAGGACGAAAACAUCCUCUGACAGUUUGGCUAACAUUAAAAGCGGCAAAAUGUUGCGGUGCUGCCUGCCAAAUGACAUGAUUUCUCAGUUCUGAUUCGGUUUCCAUUCUGCACUCUCUUCAGGCUGCAUUUCUACAUCUUCGCAUUUCUACAUCCCCACAUCAACUUCAGCUCAAGAACUGAGCGAAACUUUUGCUUAUCUGCGUUACAGCCACAAAACCGAAUCCCGACUUCAGCCAACCAAGUCGCCACCCUUUCUUCACUUUCUACACUGAACAAAACUACUUCACUCUCAAUUGACCCAUUCUUUAACACCACACAAGAUCUGAGAUAAUAAAUAUAUAUUUAAGAGGAGUUUAUUUCGAAUU